Molecule: ribosomal RNA, 426 nt
Filed under: uncultured bacterium
Lineage: Bacteria
Description: bacterial SSU rRNA
Rfam family: Bacterial small subunit ribosomal RNA
Source: RNAcentral
AGUAAGGAAUAUUGGUCAAUGGACGCAAGUCUGAACCAGCCAUGCCGCGUGGAGGAUGAAGGUCCUCUGGAUUGUAAACUUCUUUUAUCGGAGAAGAAACCCUUGCAUUCUUGCGAGGUUGACGGUACCCGAUGAAUAAGCACCGGCUAACUCCGUGCCAGCAGCCGCGGUAAUACGGAGGGUGCAAGCGUUAUCCGGAUUCACUGGGUUUAAAGGGUGCGUAGGUGGGCUAGUAAGUCCGUGGUGAAAUCUCCAAGCUUAACUUGGAAACUGCCGUGGAUACUAUUAGUCUUGAAUAUUGUGGAGGUAAGCGGAAUAUGUCAUGUAGCGGUGAAAUGCUUAGAUAUGACAUAGAACACCGAUAGCGAAGGCAGCUUGCUACACAAUCAUUGACACUGAGGCACGAAAGCGUGGGGAUCAAACAGG